AUUGAACGCUGGCGACAUGCCUUACACAUGCAAGUCGAACGGCAGCACGGGUGCUUGCACCUGGUGGCGAGUGGCGAACGGGUGAGUAAUACAUCGGAACAUGUCCUGUAGUGGGGGAUAGCCCGGCGAAAGCCGGAUUAAUACCGCAUACGAUCUACGGAUGAAAGCGGGGGACCUUCGGGCCUCGCGCUAUAGGGUUGGCCGAUGGCUGAUUAGCUAGUUGGUGGGGUAAAGGCCUACCAAGGCAACGAUCAGUAGCUGGUCUGAGAGGACGACCAGCCACACUGGGACUGAGACACGGCCCAGACUCCUACGGGAGGCAGCAGUGGGGAAUUUUGGACAAUGGGCGAAAGCCUGAUCCAGCAAUGCCGCGUGUGUGAAGAAGGCCUUCGGGUUGUAAAGCACUUUUGUCCGGAAAGAAAUCCUUGGCCCUAAUACGGUCGGGGGAUGACGGUACCGGAAGAAUAAGCACCGGCUAACUACGUG
RNAcentral lists this ribosomal RNA (486 nucleotides) under uncultured bacterium. RNAcentral describes it as "partial 16S ribosomal RNA". It matches the Rfam family "Bacterial small subunit ribosomal RNA", at positions 30 to 507 of the family's 1533-position model. The record is from RNAcentral.